GGGGGGGUGGAGCAGUCUGGUAGCUCGUCGGGCUCAUAACCCGAAGGUCGCAAGUUCAAAUCUUGCCCCCCGCA
This 74-nucleotide transfer RNA is filed under the name Gracilibacillus boraciitolerans JCM 21714. It matches the Rfam family "tRNA". Rfam says of the family: Transfer RNA (tRNA) molecules are approximately 80 nucleotides in length. Their secondary structure includes four short double-helical elements and three loops (D, anti-codon, and T loops). Lineage: Bacteria; Bacillati; Bacillota; Bacilli; Caryophanales; Bacillaceae. The record is from Rfam by way of RNAcentral.